This 2466-nucleotide unclassified non-coding RNA is filed under the name Hevea brasiliensis (rubber tree). The record is from RNAcentral. Lineage: Eukaryota; Viridiplantae; Streptophyta; Magnoliopsida; Malpighiales; Euphorbiaceae.
CUUAUAUUUUGUAUUUCCUUAAUCUAGUAUAUAUACAGCAAGGGCAAGAGUGAUAUCCCACAAUUAUAGGAUAUAAUCAUGCUAUUACAGAAUGUCAACUUAAAUAUUAUACAAAAUAGGGAAAUGAAUAUUACACAAAAUAAGAAAAUAAUCCUCAUUGAUCAAGAGCUGAGAUUUCGAUUUGAUAUGCUGUUAUUAUGCCCCCGCAAGAUAGGGGUGGUGUCAACAACUCCUAUCUUGGAGAGAUUUUUCUGAAACAGGUGCUUGGCUGGUGCCUUGGUAAGGGAAUCAGCUAGCUGGUCAGCAGAGUGAACAUGAAGAACAUGAAGUUUAGAACACUGAACUUGCUCUCGGACAAAGUGAAAAUCUAUAGCAAUAUUUCAUUCUGCUAUGGAAAACUGGAUUUUGACAAAGAUAUGUGGUGCCAACAUUAUCACAAUAAACGACAGGUGUCGAUGUUGGAACUUGAAGCUCAAAGAGAAGAUUUUGGAUCCAAUUUACCUCAGCUACAGUGGCAGCUACUAACCUAUAUUCUGCUUCAGUAGAUGAGCGAGCAACAGUCUUUUGUUUCUUAGAAGACCAACUGAUUGGUGUUUGACCAAGAAAGAUGAGAUAAGCUGAGGUUGAACAGCGAUCAUUUGCAUCUCCAGCCCAAUCAGCAUCUGAAUAUGCAUGAAGAUCAAGAUUCCUAGAUUUGCAAAUACUUAAACCAUGCAUAAGAGUUUGUUUUAAAUAGCAUAAAAUGCGCUUGGUAGCCUGCCAGUGAAGGGUCGAUGGUUGAUGCAUAAAUUGGGACAAUUUAUUGACAGCAAAUGAGAUGUCCGGACGAGUGAAUGAUAGAUAUUGAAGAGCCCCAAUCACUUGUCGAUAUUGUUUAGCAUCAGUGGGUGGAGCUCCAUCAUUCAAUGUGAGUGUAGUUGUGGAGCUUAAUGGAGUUUGAACUCCAUUACAAUCAAGCAUGUUAUGUUUCUGAAGAAGCUCUGUAAUAUACUUAGAUUGAGAUAGGAGAAGACCACCUGAGUAAGGUACGACUUCUACUCCAAGAAAGAAAUGUAAUGCUCCAAGGUCUUUAAGUGAGAAUUUUUUGGAGAGGUCAGCAAUUGUUUGAGAGAGAGCUUGAGAAUGAUUUCCUGUCAGCACAAUAUCGUCAACAUAAACAAGAAGUAUAAGGAGAAUACCGCCAUGUGAGUAUAUAAAUAAUGAGUUGUCCGAGCGCGAAUUCACAAAGCCAUAUGUAGUAAAAAAUUAUCGUAGCUCUUGGUACCAGGCCCUCGGUGCUUGACGAAGACCGUAGAUGGGCUUAUUUAAGCGACAUACAUGUGAUGGAAAUUGAGAAUGAAUAAAUCCAGGUGGUUGUUGCAUGAAGACUUCAUCUUCAAGGGUGCCUUGCAAGAAGGCAUUAUUGACAUCUAGCUGACGAAGUGGCCACCCUUGUUGGACAGCAAGUGAUAGAACAAUUCUGACCGUGACUGCCUUAACAAUUGGACUGAAUGUAGAGUGGAAAUCAAUCCCUAGACGUUGAGUAAAUCCUUUGGCUAUAAGGCGUGCCUUGUACCUAUCAACAGAACCAUCAGCUUUUCUUUUUAUUCGGUAAAUCCACUUACAGCCCACUAUAUUUUGUGAUGAGUGUGCUGGAACAAGAUCCCAUGUAUGAUUAUAGUAAGGCAUCAAACUCUUCACGCAUGGCAGUAGCCAAUGGGAAUCCUGCUGGGCUUUGCGAAUGGUUGUAGGUGUCGUAAGAUCAAAGCAUACAGCUAGAUAGUCAAAGGGAACUUUGGGUUUGAAGAUAUUAUUCUGUGAUCGGGUGAUCAUACGAUUUGGAGGUGGUGGUAGGGUGGAGGGUUGAUUUUGAGGUUGUGGUGAGAAAGAUAAGGAUCUUACCGUGCUUGUAAUAGUGUUGGAAUCUGAAGCAGUAGUGGCAGCCAUGGUAGGUGGCGAUGAAGAAGUUUCUGUUUGAGUGACGGCAGAAGUGGUAGGAGGGGAUAGUAGAUUUGGAUCAGGAAGUGGAAUGAGAGGCAUGUCAAAAGAGGUGGGUGAUGCCUCUUGAGAGGUAACCAAAGGUGAAGAAGAGAGAUCAAGCCAUUCAAGUGGGGCUCGUAAGGAUGACAAGGAAGAGAAGAUUGUUUUGUAUGGAAAUUCAGAUUCUAAGAAUUUAACAUGUCGAGAUAGAAAAACUUUUGAGGUGGUGGGAUCGAAACAUUGGUAACAGUGAUGAGAGAGGGAAUAUCCGAUGAAAACACAAGGUUGAGAUUUUGGUUCUAAUUUAUUUUUGGCGUAUGGUUGAAGCCAAGGGUAACAUAGGCAACCGAAGAUGCGAAGUUUAGAGUAUGUAGGUGUGUCACGGAAGAGUAAAGUAAAGGGAGAUUUAUUUUGAAGGAUUGAAGUAGGCAAACGAUUGAUGAGAUAAACAGUUGUUUGACACGCAAAGGACCAUAUAGAGGAUGGAAGGGAUGCUUGGUGAAAAAG